CCCUUAGAUGUCCUGGGCCGCACGCGCGUUACACUGAUGCAUUCAACGAGCUUAUAACCUUGGCCGAGAGGCCUGGGCAAUCUUGUUAACGUGCAUCGUGAUAGGGAUAGAUUAUUGAAAUUAUUAAUCUUGAACGAGGAAUUCCUAGUAAACGCAGAUCAUCAAUCUGCAUUGAUUACGUUCCUGCCCUUUGUACACACCGCCCGUCGCACCUACCGAUUGGAUGGUCCGGUGAAGCCUCGGGAUUGUGGUUCUUGCCGCUUUAUUGUAGCGUGACCGCGAGAACUUGUCUAAACCUUAUCAUCUAGAGGAAGGUGAAGUCGUAACA
Molecule: ribosomal RNA, 328 nt
Filed under: uncultured eukaryote
Lineage: Eukaryota
Description: partial 18S ribosomal RNA
Rfam family: Eukaryotic small subunit ribosomal RNA
Source: RNAcentral